Molecule: ribosomal RNA, 403 nt
Filed under: uncultured bacterium
Lineage: Bacteria
Description: partial 16S ribosomal RNA
Rfam family: Bacterial small subunit ribosomal RNA
Source: RNAcentral
GACGAACGCUGGCGGCGUGCCUAAUACAUGCAAGUCGAACGCAGUGGGGACGGGUGAGUAACACGUGGGUAACCUCCCAUCAGAGGGGAUAACACUUGGAAACAGGUGCUAAACCGAUACUGAUGGAUGGACCCGCGGUGCAUUAGCUAGGUGGGGAGGUAACGGCUCACCAAGGCCACGAUGCCUAGCGGACCUGUGAGGGUGUUCGGCCACGCUGGGACUUGACCCCGGCCCAGACUCCUACGGGAGGCAGCAGUCGGGACUCUUCGGCAAUGGACGAAAGUCUGACCGAGCAACGCCGCGUGAGUGAAGAAGGUUUUCGGAUCGUAAAACUCUGUUGUUAGAGAAGCGGUAUCUAACCAGAAAGCCACGGCUAACUACGGGCCAGCAGCCGCGGUAAUUC